UGUAGUCAUAUGCUUGUCUCAAAGAUUAAUCCAUGCAUGUUUAAGUAUAAGUAUUGUACAGCGAAACUGCGAAUGGCUCAUAACAUCAGUUAUUAUUUAUUUGAUAAUCGAAAGUUACAUGGAUAACCGUGACAAAUUACAGCUAAUACAUGCAGUCAGAUCUGGUCCAAGGGUCGUAAUUAUUAGUAUUAAACCAUUUCCGAAAGGAGUGUGAUGAAUCAUAAUAAUCGAACGAAUCGCCUGGUGUGCGAUAAAUCAUUCAAGUUUCUGCCCUAUCAGCUUUGGAUGGUAGUGUAUUGGACUACCAUGGCAGUCACGGGUAACGGAGAAUUAGGGUUCGAUUCCGGAGAGGGAGCCUGAGAAACGGCUACCACAUCUACGGAAGGCAGCAGGAGCGAAAAUUGCCCAAUCCUGACACGGGGAGGCAGUGACAAGAAAUAACAACUCUAGGUUAUUCUUAGAAGUGUAAUGAGGAUAAUUUACAACCCUUACCGAAAGCAAUUGGAGGGCAAGUCUGGUAAUCG
This 524-nucleotide ribosomal RNA is filed under the name uncultured eukaryote. RNAcentral describes it as "SSU rRNA". It matches the Rfam family "Eukaryotic small subunit ribosomal RNA", at positions 21 to 570 of the family's 1831-position model. The record is from RNAcentral.